GGGAAUCUUCCGCAAUGGACGAAAGUCUGACGGAGCAACGCCGCGUGAGUGAUGAAGGUUUUCGGAUCGUAAAGCUCUGUUGUUAGGGAAGAACAAGUGCGAGAGUAACUGCUCGCACCUUGACGGUACCUAACCAGAAAGCCACGGCUAACUACGUGCCAGCAGCCGCGGUAAUACGUAGGUGGCAAGCGUUGUCCGGAAUUAUUGGGCGUAAAGGGCUCGCAGGCGGUUUCUUAAGUCUGAUGUGAAAGCCCCCGGCUCAACCGGGGAGGGUCAUUGGAAACUGGGAAACUUGAGUGCAGAAGAGGAGAGUGGAAUUCCACGUGUAGCGGUGAAAUGCGUAGAGAUGUGGAGGAACACCAGUGGCGAA
Molecule: ribosomal RNA, 370 nt
Filed under: Bacillus sp. (in: firmicutes)
Lineage: Bacteria; Bacillati; Bacillota; Bacilli; Caryophanales; Bacillaceae
Description: bacterial SSU rRNA
Rfam family: Bacterial small subunit ribosomal RNA
Source: RNAcentral